Molecule: ribosomal RNA, 372 nt
Filed under: uncultured bacterium
Lineage: Bacteria
Description: bacterial SSU rRNA
Rfam family: Bacterial small subunit ribosomal RNA
Source: RNAcentral
GACGAACGCUGGCGGCGUGCUUAACACAUGCAAGUCGAGCGGUAAGCCCUUUCGGGGGUACACGAGCGGCGAACGGGUGAGUAACACGUGGGUGACCUGCCCUCAGCUCUGGGAUAAGCCUGGGAAACCGGGUCUAAUACCGGAUAUGACUCCAUGACGCAUGUUGUGGGGUGGAAAGCCUUGUGCGGCUGAGGAUGGGCCCGCGGCCUAUCAGCUUGUUGGUGGGGUGAUGGCCUACCAAGGCGACGACGGGUAGCCGGCCUGAGAGGGCGACCGGCCACACUGGGACUGAGACACGGCCCAGACUCCUACGGGAGGCAGCAGUGGGGAAUCUUGCGCAAUGGGCGAAAGCCUGACGCAGCGACGCCGCGU